AUGAGGCUCCCUGCUCAGCUCCUGGGGUUGCUAAUGCUCUGGAUCCCUGGAUCCAGUGGGGAUAUUGUGAUGACCCAGACUCCACUCUCCCUGUCCAUCACCCCUGGAGAGCCAGCCUCCAUCUCCUGCAGGUCUAGUCAGAGCCUCCGGCAUAGUAAUGGAUACACCUAUUUGGAUUUGGUACCUGCAGAAGCCAGGCCAGUCUCCACAGCUCCUGAUCUAUUUGGGUUCUAAUCGGGCCUCCGGGGUCCCAGACAGGUUCAGUGGCAGUGGGUCAGGCACUGAUUUCACACUGAAAAUCAGCAGGGUGGAGGCUGAGGAUGUUGGGGUUUAUUACUGCAUGCAAGGUAUACAGCUUCCUCCCACGGUGGUACAGACCAAUACAGAAACCUCUCUGCUGGGGUGUCCCAGCUGCUCACUUGCACUGCUUGUCUGGGGAGUAGCUCAGCAGGGACUAUGA
This is an RNA transcript of Nomascus leucogenys (northern white-cheeked gibbon), 460 nucleotides long. It is a transcript of the gene named immunoglobulin kappa variable 2D-28-like, with no coding region annotated. The record is from RefSeq and is a predicted model, not a curated record. NCBI's taxonomy places the organism in Eukaryota, Metazoa, Chordata, Mammalia, Primates, Hylobatidae. The transcript has 2 exons.